UACAGAGGGUGCAAGCGUUAAUCGGAAUUACUGGGCGUAAAGCGUGCGUAGACGGUUGCGUAAGUCACACGUGAAAUCCCCGGGCUCAACCUGGGAACUGCGUUUGAAACUGGGAAGCUAGAGUGUGGAAGAGGGGGGUGGAAUUCCAGGUGUAGCAGUGAAAUGCGUAGAGAUCUGGAGGAACACCGAUGGCGAAGGCAGCCCCCUGGGCUAACACUGACGCUCAUGCACGAAAGCGUGGGGAGCAAACAGG
This 253-nucleotide ribosomal RNA is filed under the name uncultured bacterium. RNAcentral's name for it is "partial 16S ribosomal RNA". It matches the Rfam family "Bacterial small subunit ribosomal RNA", at positions 524 to 776 of the family's 1533-position model. The record is from RNAcentral.